UGGGGAAUUUUGGACAAUGGGCGAAAGCCUGAUCCAGCAAUGCCGCGUGUGUGAAGAAGGCCUUCGGGUUGUAAAGCACUUUUGUCCGGAAAGAAAUCCUUGGCUCUAAUACAGUCGGGGGAUGACGGUACCGGAAGAAUAAGCACCGGCUAACUACGUGCCAGCAGCCGCGGUAAUACGUAGGGUGCAAGCGUUAAUCGGAAUUACUGGGCGUAAAGCGUGCGCAGGCGGUUCGCUAAGACCGAUGUGAAAUCCCCGGGCUCAACCUGGGAACUGCAUUGGUGACUGGCAGGCUAGAGUAUGGCAGAGGGGGGUAGAAUUCCACGUGGUAGCAGUGAAAUGCGUAGAGAUGUGGAGGAAUACCGAUGGCGAAGGCAGCCCCCUGGGCCAAUACUGACGCUCAUGCACGAAAGCGUGGGGAGCAAACAGGAUUAGAUACCCUGGUAGUCCACGCCCUAAACGAUGUCAACUAGUUGUUGGGGAUUCAUUUCCUUGGUAACGUAGCUAACGCGUGAAGUUGACCGCCUGGGGAGUACGGUCGCAAGAUUAAAAACUUAAAGGAAUUGACGGGGUCAU
This 576-nucleotide ribosomal RNA is filed under the name uncultured bacterium. RNAcentral describes it as "partial 16S ribosomal RNA". It matches the Rfam family "Bacterial small subunit ribosomal RNA", at positions 355 to 922 of the family's 1533-position model. The record is from RNAcentral.